CCAGGGGGUGUUGCAUUUGAACUCCACUGCGCGCAGUGCUGCCGUCCCCUCUCUGCCCGUUGCACACCCGCCCCUCUCCGGGCCAGCGCUCUCUGCCGCGCUGGCUUGCCUCUCCGGCUCCCCAACGAGUCCUCAACAAGUUGGAGGGAGGCAGGAGCGCACGGGUUAAACUCGGGAAGCUGCAAUUACCAAGAUCGUGACCCUCCCACACAGUACAGUAACUUAUAUACUUACCCGGAAGAGCCCGCUUUGCCGCUGGGCAAACACCCAUGGGGGUUGGGGAGGGGCAGGAGGGGAGCGGGCUGGCCAGAGAGGGCUGCUUCCAGACCGCUGCAGAGCACACCGAACCAAUGCACUCCCAAGACCCCCGGACUCAGGUGGUCAAGCCCGUCCUGAUACUGAAUGGUACAGUGAGGAGUGGCCACCCAAGGGAGGCAGUCUCGGAGGUCACAGGAGUUCCAGGAACUCCGUUACUUGCAUGGAGAGGAAGUUUGCAAGAGAAUUUGGCAGUUCUGCUGGAUCAAGCAAAUAAAGAUUGGCAACUGGAGCUAGAGCUGGAUUUGACAACUGGAUAUGAGAAUCGAACCAAAGCUCCCUGUGUCCACCUGGUUGGCAGAAUGCUUCUCCAGCACAGAAGGAACUGGUACACACGUGGGAUUCAAGCACUCAGGAGCUGGAGGCAGAGCACCAGAAGCUCAGGUAUAAGGGGUUCAGGGUCAGCCUAGGGCACAUGAGAUCCUGCCGAAAGCAACAACCAAACUCAACGUGUUGAACUAUAUUCAGCUGAAGAUCAGAUAGUGCAGUGGAUGACAGAGCUGUUAAGAACAAGUAAUGAAGACUUGGGCCCUUGUCUCAAUUGUUAAGCUAUGAUAGUAUUCUUAAAAACAUCCAACUCUUAUAGAGUUCCUUAAUUAUGAAAAUUUCUUUUAUACAGUUUAGUACUCCUGGUUUUGCUGUGAAAAUUGAAUAUGGAUUUGUAGAAAUUUGUACCAAAAUGUAGAAAAACUGCCAAUGAACUUCAAUGGAAAUCUUUAUGUACUAUUACAAUGAAAUGCUGUUAAUUCAUGUUGCUUACAUUAAAGACUAUUUUCAACUUUAAAUAUUUUAAAUAAAUGAUUCUGAAGUCCC
RNAcentral lists this long non-coding RNA (1128 nucleotides) under Mus spicilegus (steppe mouse). RNAcentral describes it as "lncRNA (ENSMSIG00000017923.1)". The record is from RNAcentral. Lineage: Eukaryota; Metazoa; Chordata; Mammalia; Rodentia; Muridae.